GAAAAAUAAAAAUACAAAGAGCAUGGAAAUCACAUCCUUCAAAAUCAAAUCUUGCAUUCUGCCAGUGUUAACCUUUGUCCAUUCCAAAUUGAAUAUCUGGAUUUGUAGACAUCCAAUUGAUGCAAACUCAAUUGUUUUGGAUUCCUGACUCAAAGGCCUACAAACACUCCAAAUUGCAGUAAUGUCAUAUGAGGGAGAUAUGAGUUUUCAAAGAUAAUAACAACUGAAUUCUGCUAGCAAACAGGUUUCGUGAAGAAACGAAUCCAAAUUACAUCCCGAAGCAUCCAAACCGACAUCCAAGUUUUAAUUUCAGCAAUUUAGCUCCUCUAGUAAAUCAAUCUAGAAGGUCAAGGAAGGCAGCCACCAACCUCAAAUCACCAACCACAAACCAACUGCCAACCACCAGCCGCCUUCAC
Molecule: long non-coding RNA, 416 nt
Filed under: Populus trichocarpa (black cottonwood)
Lineage: Eukaryota; Viridiplantae; Streptophyta; Magnoliopsida; Malpighiales; Salicaceae
Description: long non-coding RNA (PTRI_LNC001631)
Source: RNAcentral